GAUGAACGCUGGCGGCGUGCUUAACACAUGCAAGUCGAACGAUGAAGCCCAGCUUGCUGGGUGGAUUAGUGGCGAACGGGUGAGUAACACGUGAGUAACCUGCCCUUAACUCUGGGAUAAGCCUGGGAAACUGGGUCUAAUACCGGAUAGGAGCGUCCACCGCAUGGUGGGUGUUGGAAAGAUUUAUCGGUUUUGGAUGGACUCGCGGCCUAUCAGCUUGUUGGUGAGGUAAUGGCUCACCAAGGCGACGACGGGUAGCCGGCCUGAGAGGGUGACCGGCCACACUGGGACUGAGACACGGCCCAGACUCCUACGGGAGGCAGCAGUGGGGAAUAUUGCACAAUGGGCGCAAGCCUGAUGCAGCGACGCCGCGUGAGGGAUGACGGCCCUCGGGUUGUAAACCUCUUUCAGUAGGGAAGAAGCGAAAGUGACGGUACCUGCAGAAGAAGCACCGGCUAACUACGUG
This 466-nucleotide ribosomal RNA is filed under the name uncultured bacterium. RNAcentral describes it as "partial 16S ribosomal RNA". It matches the Rfam family "Bacterial small subunit ribosomal RNA", at positions 28 to 507 of the family's 1533-position model. The record is from RNAcentral.